CCUGAGAAACCCAAAAGAUCGAAUGGGGAGAUUCAUCGUCAGCUCAUUUUGUAUAUGUAUAAGUUACGAUGCGGGUUACUACUUGUAGUAUUGCCUGCACGUUCUUGUAUAUUUAGUUGCAAGAUGUUGUCGGCGUGCACUUCUUCCCUAGUAGGACGUCGCGACCCGUUGGGUGUCGGUCUACGGCCCAAGUGAUAGCCUUUAAUGUAAUUUAAAAAUCAUUGAAGAUCCUUGGUGUUUUCUGACCGGCUAYUCGGCGGUACUCGUACGGUAUUUAGCCGCUAAUUUAUURGCGUCCAUGUCCGUCACAAGCGAGGCCAAUUUACUGAUAGUGCGGACCUAGUGCCGUCGUUGGUAUUGGCCAGCUGUUGGUUGUACGUGAUUCUGGGACNGGCUAAAAUUAAUACCGGUCGGCGA
RNAcentral lists this ribosomal RNA (417 nucleotides) under Aleiodes sophieae. Its description in RNAcentral is "eukaryotic LSU rRNA". The record is from RNAcentral. Lineage: Eukaryota; Metazoa; Arthropoda; Insecta; Hymenoptera; Braconidae.